GGGGGGAUUAUUUGCCCAACAGCCCCCUGUUAAACACUGCCACCUUAUGGACUGAGAAACAGCUACACAGAGAAGUGAGUACUUGCAACAAACAAGAGCUGUGGUCUAACGUUCCAGCGAGCUUUCACCUGGUUUUGGCCCAAAGACAACAGUUUUUGUGCAUAAGGCCUUGAAUAAGGAAGAUGGGAAUAAGGAAAUCUAAAGUUGGCUACAUCUUCCCAUGGCAGAGCGCUGGAGAGAGAUGCAACUGUCCUCCUCCCUCCUGCUGAGGCAUGUAAAGGAUUAAAGAAAAGGAAUACUUGAAUUCUUACUUUGUCAUGUGGUUCACCUGUUCUUCUGAAGUAUUUCCAAAGCUAGAAGGAAAAGGUGCACAUACUUACACGCCUGGCAUUACUUUGGACAUGGUUCCAAAAUGUUUAUUUGAGCAUGUACAUUUUAGAAUGAAAAAAUGUAUAUGCAAGACAAUGACCAUCGAUGUGUUAAGGAGAAAAAAAAACAACCCACCAGCUAAGAUGACUCAAAAUUGCUUUUUGAGAUGAUGAUAAAAGGAAGACACUGAAAAAAAAUUUUGUGUCAAGAUGCAGAUCUGGGAAGAAAAAAUCCACCUCAGAAUUUAGUCGGUAAAACAGUUCGCAUUUUUUUGUGGUUGUUGUUAAGGUAAAUUCCCCUUUUCCUUUUUUUUUAUGGUUUCAUUCACUAUGUUUGAGUUUUCAAACUACAGAACCCUUCAAGUUUCUGUACCUGCAAGCCACAGGAUCCCCUCGACAACUCAACAUGGAUGUAAAGCUGAAAGAUAGUUUGAGAAAAUUGCAAAUUAAAUAUGCCCUACAUGUAAGGACAUUCCUUGACAAUCAUUUCAAGGUGGUAAUUAACCUCAGACUCAAAAUUAGAGGCCACGGCUUAAGAUCAGGCUCUAAACCGAUGGAGACUCGAACAAAACAUCUGACUGACAGCAGGGUGUUCUACCUGUGGUACCCCACAACGUACGGGGAGUGGGGAGGGCUAUUUCAAAGGAAACAGAACUUGCCCCCAUCCCCUCCCACAGAGCCACUGGUGCGUUUGGCCAAGGGGCACUGACCUCUCCGCCCAUCCGCUUGUCUCCACGCACCCGCGCUGCUGUUAACAGCUACGCCUUCGCUGCCCCUCUCUCCCGAGGCAGAAACUGAAGUCCUCUGUUAAGCAGACUUGCACCUGAGGACAGUAUGCAGCAAUUGAUUUCUAC
This 1222-nucleotide long non-coding RNA is filed under the name Calidris pygmaea (Spoon-billed sandpiper). RNAcentral describes it as "lncRNA (ENSCPGG00000005798.1)". The record is from RNAcentral. Lineage: Eukaryota; Metazoa; Chordata; Aves; Charadriiformes; Scolopacidae.